GGGUCGCUGGUCUAGUGAUAUGAUUCUCGCUUAGGGUAACACCCUAGAGCAGUAUUUGCGAGAAGUCCCGGGUUCAAUCCUCGGGUGACCCC
Molecule: non-coding RNA, 92 nt
Organism: Lasiosphaeria hispida
Lineage: Eukaryota; Fungi; Ascomycota; Sordariomycetes; Sordariales; Lasiosphaeriaceae
Source: the annotation of a GenBank genome assembly